RNAcentral lists this microRNA precursor (96 nucleotides) under Nicotiana attenuata. RNAcentral describes it as "MIR6152 microRNA precursor family". It matches the Rfam family "MIR6152 microRNA precursor family". Lineage: Eukaryota; Viridiplantae; Streptophyta; Magnoliopsida; Solanales; Solanaceae. The record is from Rfam by way of RNAcentral.
UGGACAGAUUAUUGUAUUCGACUGUAUUCACAGCGUGAAAUAGGGGAUUACACUAUUUUUAAAACGCAAAUGAAUCAAUUAACAUAAUAGACUCCU